Molecule: ribosomal RNA, 776 nt
Filed under: uncultured Neocallimastigales
Lineage: Eukaryota; Fungi; Neocallimastigomycota; Neocallimastigomycetes; Neocallimastigales
Description: partial large subunit ribosomal RNA
Rfam family: Eukaryotic large subunit ribosomal RNA
Source: RNAcentral
CAUAGCGACUAUCGUGGCAUAUCAAUAAGCGGAGGAAAAGUAAACUAACUAGGAUUCCCUCAGUAACGGCGAGUGAAGCGGGAAGAGCUCAAAUUUGAAAUCUUCAAGGUUUACCUUGACGAAUUGUAGUUUAAAGAAGUGUUUUCUGUUAGAGGAGUUAGGUAAAAGUUCUUUGGAAUAGGACAUCAUAGAGGGUGAGAAUCCCGUAUUUGACUAUUCUUUCUAGCUGUGUGAUACACUUUCAAAGAGUCGGAUUGUUUGGGAAUGCAGUCCAAAAUGGGUGGUAAAUUUCAUCUAAAGCUAAAUAUUGGCGAGAGACCGAUAGCGAACAAGUACCGUGAGGGAAAGAUGAAAAGAACUUUGAAAAGAGAGUUAAACAGUACGUGAAAUUGUCAAAAGGGAAGCGUUUGACACCAGUGUUGUUUUUCCGAAAAUCAAUUAAAAAUUGAUUCAUGCCAGGUUGUAUUGACCUUAUCAGCUUGCAAUUUGGUUUUGGGUCUCUUUUUGAUGCACUUUUCGGUUAACAUGUCAACAUCAAUUUCCUUUGCUGUAAAAAGGUAAGAGGAAGGUGGCUUCAAUUUCGGUUGAAGUGUUUAUAGCCUUUUAUCUCUGCAGUCGGGGAGAUUGAGGUCUGCAGCGUAGAUCCUUCGGGGCUAGAUACAUUUAUGCUAAGUUAUAGCUUUUCAUAGACAACUUGUUGACUAUGUUUAGUCAUGUAGCUUACUCGUAAGUGCUAUUUUACCUACGCUUAGGAUGUUGAUAGUCACAGCGUGUAC